Molecule: long non-coding RNA, 310 nt
Filed under: Mytilus galloprovincialis (Mediterranean mussel)
Lineage: Eukaryota; Metazoa; Mollusca; Bivalvia; Mytilida; Mytilidae
Source: RNAcentral
AAAAAAAAGAAAAUUUCUUCAAACAUUUUUUGAGAGGAUUAAUAUUCAACAGCAUAGUGAAUUGCUCUAAGAGAAAACAAAAAUUUUAAGUUCAUAGAAACAAUUCAUUAUUCUGUGUCAGAAACCUAUGCUGUGUCAACUAUUUAAUCACAAUCCAAAUUUAGAGCUGAAUCCAGCUUGAAUGUCGUGUCCAUACUUGCCCCAACCGUUCAGGGUUCAACCUCUGCGGUCGUAUAAAGCUACGCCCUGCGGAGCAUCUGGUUGAAAUUUGAAUAACUUUCUUAAACUAUCAUGGAUAUUGGCCAAACUU